RNAcentral lists this long non-coding RNA (404 nucleotides) under Physcomitrium patens. Its description in RNAcentral is "long non-coding RNA (PPAT_LNC004333)". The record is from RNAcentral. Lineage: Eukaryota; Viridiplantae; Streptophyta; Bryopsida; Funariales; Funariaceae.
AGGAUUUGGUUAGGAUUUGAUUUAGGAUUUAGGAUUUAGUUAAGAUUUGGUUUAGGAUUUAAGAUUUGGUUAGGGUUUGAUUUAGGAUUUAGGAUUUGAUUUAGGAUUUAAGAUUGGAUUAGGAUUUGAUUUAUGAUUAGGAUUUGGUUAAGAAUUGAUUUAGGAUUUAGGAUUUGGUUAGGAUUUGAUUUAGGAUUUAGGAUUUUAUUAGGAUUUGUUUAAGAUUUGAAAUUUAGUUAAAUUUGGCCUAAAGUUUAAAUGAAGUUUAAUAGGAUUUUAAUUAGGAUUAAAUUAAGAUUAAAUUGAAAUUUAUUUGAGAUAUAUUUGUGAUCAAUACAAUAUUUCUUUAAGAUUUUUUAUUAUUUCUUUGUAAUUCCUUUGAGGUUUUUUUGAAUUCAAUUAAG